AAUGGGUCAGCGACUUAUAUUCUGUAGCAAGGUUAACCGAAUAGGGGAGCCGAAGGGAAACCGAGUCUUAACUGGGCGUUAAGUUGCAGGGUAUAGACCCGAAACCCGGUGAUCUAGCCAUGGGCAGGUUGAAGGUUGGGUAACACUAACUGGAGGACCGAACCGACUAAUGUUGAAAAAUUAGCGGAUGACUUGUGGCUGGGGGUGAAAGGCCAAUCAAACCGGGAGAUAGCUGGUUCUCCCCGAAAGCUAUUUAGGUAGCGCCUCGUGAAUUCAUCUCCGGGGGUAGAGCACUGUUUCGGCAAGGGGGUCAUCCCGACUUACCAACCCGAUGCAAACUGCGAAUACCGGAGAAUGUUAUCACGGGAGACACACGGCGGGUGCUAACGUCCGUCGUGAAGAGGGAAACAACCCAGACCGCCAGCUAAGGUCCCAAAGUCAUGGUUAAGUGGGAAACGAUGUGGGAAGGCCCAGACAGCCAGGAUGUUGGCUUAGAAGCAGCCAUCAUUUAAAGAAAGCGUAAUAGCUCACUGGUCGAGUCGGCCUGCGCGGAAGAUGUAACGGGGCUAAACCAUGCACCGAAGCUGCGGCAGCGACGCUGAUGCGUUGUUGGGUAGGGGAGCGUUCUGUAAGCCUGCGAAGGUGUGCUGUGAGGCAUGCUGGAGGUAUCAGAAGUGCGAAUGCUGACAUAAGUAACGAUAAAGCGGGUGAAAAGCCCGCUCGCCGGAAGACCAAGGGUUCCUGUCCAACGUUAAUCGGGGCAGGGUGAGUCGACCCCUAAGGCGAGGCCGAAAGGCGUAGUCGAUGGGAAACAGGUUAAUAUUCCUGUACUUGGUGUUACUGCGAAGGGGGGACGGAGAAGGCUAUGUUGGCCGGGCGACGGUUGUCCCGGUUUAAGCGUGUAGGCUGGUUUUCCAGGCAAAUCCGGAAAAUCAAGGCUGAGGCGUGAUGACGAGGCACUACGGUGCUGAAGCAACAAAUGCCCUGCUUCCAGGAAAAGCCUCUAAGCAUCAGGUAACAUCAAAUCGUACCCCAAACCGACACAGGUGGUCAGGUAGAGAAUACCAAGGCGCUUGAGAGAACUCGGGUGAAGGAACUAGGCAAAAUGGUGCCGUAACUUCGGGAGAAGGCACGCUGAUAUGUAGGUGAAGCGACUUGCUCGUGGAGCUGAAAUCAGUCGAAGAUACCAGCUGGCUGCAACUGUUUAUUAAAAACACAGCACUGUGCAAACACGAAAGUGGACGUAUACGGUGUGACGCCUGCCCGGUGCCGGAAGGUUAAUUGAUGGGGUUAGCGCAAGCGAAGCUCUUGAUCGAAGCCCCGGUAAACGGCGGCCGUAACUAUAACGGUCCUAAGGUAGCGAAAUUCCUUGUCGGGUAAGUUCCGACCUGCACGAAUGGCGUAAUGAUGGCCAGGCUGUCUCCACCCGAGACUCAGUGAAAUUGAACUCGCUGUGAAGAUGCAGUGUACCCGCGGCAAGACGGAAAGACCCCGUGAACCUUUACUAUAGCUUGACACUGAACAUUGAGCCUUGAUGUGUAGGAUAGGUGGGAGGCUUUGAAGUGUGGACGCCAGUCUGCAUGGAGCCGACCUUGAAAUACCACCCUUUAAUGUUUGAUGUUCUAACGU
RNAcentral lists this ribosomal RNA (1629 nucleotides) under Escherichia coli. RNAcentral describes it as "partial 23S ribosomal RNA". It matches the Rfam family "Bacterial large subunit ribosomal RNA", at positions 614 to 2228 of the family's 2925-position model. The record is from RNAcentral. Lineage: Bacteria; Pseudomonadati; Pseudomonadota; Gammaproteobacteria; Enterobacterales; Enterobacteriaceae.